CAGUGAGGAUGUUGGCUUAGAAGCAGCCAUCAUUUAAAGAAAGCGUAACAGCUCACUCACUAAGAGACUCUGCACCGAAGAUAAUCGGGGCUAAGCAUAGUACCGAAACUGAGGGUUUCAUCGUCUUUCGAGAUGAUGGAGCGGUAGGAGAGUGUUCUUGUCUGCACUGAAGGAGAAGCGUGAGCAACUCUGGAGCGUCAAGAAGUAAGAAUGUUGGCACAAGUAACCGCAAUGUGGGUGAGAUCCCCACACGCCGUAAGACUAAGGUUUCCUUUGCGAUGUUGAUCAGCGAAGGGUUAGUCGGGCCUAAGGUGAUGGCGAAAGCCGGAGCCGAUGGACACAGGGUUAAUAUUCCCUGACUUCUUUUCCGUGCGAUGGAGUGACGAAGGCUAGUAUGUUUCGCGCAUUAUUGGAUUUGCGUCUGUGUCAUAAGGGUGGUUCUUAGGUAAAUCCGGGAACCUGGUUUUAAUACCGCCUCCAAGUGAAGCAGAAAUCGUUAGGUUCGCCUAAUGGGAUGAGACAAAGCAGCUUUCCGAGAAAAGCUUCUAAGCAUAACGGAAAAGAAACCGUACCGAAAACCGACACAGGUGGUCGAGUCGAGUAGACUAAGGCGAACGAGUGAAUGCUUCUCAAGGAACUCGGCAAAAAAGCAGCCGUAACUUCGGGAUAAGGCUUGCCUCCACCACUUUGCAUUUAAAGUGGGGAGGUCUGAGAAUUGAGAAAAGGGUGCUGUUCUUUUAAUAAUUUUCGUAACGAAAUUUAUGUUUUUCGUGCGAGACGAAGAGAAAAAUGUGAAGCAUAUAGGUAUAUGCUGAACGUUUUUCUCGAAGUCGCAGCAGAAAAACAGAAAUUGCAGUAAGAAAUUAUUAAAGAAUAGUGCCAUAUCGAGAGACAAACCGUACGUAACAACAGAGCUGUCGUUACGUACAAAAAAUGUUGUUCAAACUUUCUUGGACUCAACUACUUUGAAAAUAAAGUGGUGGAGGCCGCAGCGAAAGAUUCCCUGGCAACUGUUUACCAAAAACACAGCUCCAUGCGAACUCGUAAGAGGAUGUAUAUGGGGUGACGCCUGACCAAUGCCAGAAGGUUAAAUAUCGGUGGUGACUCCGCAAGGAUGAGCUGGCUGAUAUAAGCCCUGGUGAAUGUCGGCCGUAACUAUAACGGUCCUAAGGUAGCGUAAUUCCUUGUCUGGUAAGUUCAGACGUGCACGAAUGGCGUAAUGACUGGGGAACUGUCUCGAGAAGCAGCUCGGUGAAAAUACAAUACCGGUGAAGAUGCCGGUUACCUGCAGUUAGACGAAAAGACCCCGUGAGCUUUACUAUAGCUUGAUAUUGAAUGUGUUUUGUGUAUGCGUAGCAUAGGUGGGAGGCUUUGAAGGAUAGAUCUCGGUUUAUCUGGAGCCGCCAGUGAAAUACCACCCUUACUCGGGGCGCAUUCUAACCUAUACGGAAAAAACGUAGGGGGACAGUAUCUGGCAGGUAGUUUGAGUGGGGCGCUCUCCUCCUAAAAAGUAACGGAGGAGUCUAUUAAGGUCCUCUAGGUGCGAAUGGAAACCGUACCGAUAGCGUAAUGGCAAAAGAGGGCUUAACUGCAAGACGGGCAUGUCGAGCAGAUGCGAAAGCAGAGCAUAGUGAACCGACGAUUCGCUUUAGACGCGGUCGAAGAUUAACGGAUAAAAGCUACCACGGGGAUAACAGGCUAGUUCCGCCCAAGAGUUCAUAUCGACGGCGGAGUUCGGCACCUCGAUGUCGGCUCAUCUUAUCCUGGAGGUGGAGAAGCUUCCAAGGGUUUGGCUGUUCGCCAAUUAAAAAGAUACGUGAGCUGGGUUCAAACCGUAGAGGAGUGAAUUACAAAGAUUAGUGAGAUUGUUUUCAUCUUUGUAAUUGACUUCUCUUAGUUUGAACCCGAGGAGUUAAGACUAAACUUAACAAAAAGACAUUGAUCACGGCGGCUCUGUACAGCGAUGUAUAGAGACAAGCUGACUAAUAUCGGGAAAAUCUUAAACAGAUUAUUAACUUCACAGAGGAGGAAGGGUCAGGCAUGACCCAAAGAGUCCUUAGGUGUUCGGGUGUAAACGUCCGAGCGCUGAGUAAGAAGAGGGGUCGCACAAACUCGAGUGGUGUGCGGCACCCUCAACUUAUUUCUUCUGUGAAGUUAAUAAUAUGAGAGACAAUUCCGAGGGAAGCAAUGGAUGACAUUGUACCCGUAGAGACUAAACGUCAGCACUCUUAUUAAAAAUAAGAAGAAGCUAUAGUCCGAUCCCUCUCGUAAGAGAGGUUCAUACAGGUUGGGACCAAGGUAUGAUGUAAAACAUGAGUGCGUGAGACAGGUUGGUCUCCUAUCUACUGCAGGCGUUGAAUUUUGAGGGGAUUUGCUCCUAGUACGAGAGGACCGGAGUGAACUGACCUCUGGUGUGGCUGCUGUCCUGCCAAGGGCAUCGCAGCGUAGCUAUGUCGGGAAUAGAUAACCUCUGAAAGCAUCUAAGAGGGAAACUAACCCCAAGAUCAGAAUUCGUUUGAGGCCCGUAGGAGAUGACUACGUUGAUAGGCUCUAGGUGUAAGGCGAGUAAUCGUUUCAGCCGAGGAGUACUAAUACGCCGAUUCUUACUGGGAA
Molecule: non-coding RNA, 2613 nt
Organism: Candidatus Yonathbacteria bacterium
Lineage: Bacteria; Candidatus Yonathiibacteriota
Source: Rfam